Small nucleolar RNA from Tachyglossus aculeatus (Australian echidna), 134 nucleotides. RefSeq annotates it as small nucleolar RNA SNORA17. Lineage: Eukaryota; Metazoa; Chordata; Mammalia; Monotremata; Tachyglossidae. The record is from RefSeq and is a predicted model, not a curated record. The transcript has a single exon.
CCUGCACCUAGAGGUGUUGCAGAUGCGGCUGCAGUGCCACAUUUGUGUCAUUUGGUGGCAGAGAGGAUAAGGCUAUGUCUACGCUCAGUGUUCAAAAAUUAAUGAACACUCAGAAUGAUUAAUAGCCUGACAGU